GGAUCAAUAUGUUGGUCGUGCCUCGGUACGUACUAGCUUAUUGGUUUCUCCUUUCUGAAGAGCCAUGAUGUCAUUCAUUUGGUGUCGUGGGGAAUCAGGACUGUUACUUUGAAAAAUAGAGUGUUUAAAGCGGGCUCACGCUUGAAUACAUUAGCAUGGAAUAAUGAAAUAGGGCGUUUGAUUCUAUUUUGUUGGUUUCUAGGAUCGACGUAAUGAUUAAUAGGG
This 225-nucleotide ribosomal RNA is filed under the name uncultured Glomeromycotina. RNAcentral's name for it is "partial small subunit ribosomal RNA". The stretch from base 45 to 225 matches the Rfam family "Eukaryotic small subunit ribosomal RNA", at positions 693 to 877 of the family's 1831-position model. Lineage: Eukaryota; Fungi; Glomeromycota. The record is from RNAcentral.